GAUCCUGGCUCAGGAUGAACGCUAGCUACAGGCUUAACACAUGCAAGUCGAGGGGAAACGACAUCGAAAGCUUGCUUUUGAUGGGCGUCGACCGGCGCACGGGUGAGUAACGCGUAUCCAACCUGCCCAUCACUUGGGAAUAACCUUGCGAAAGUAAAGACUAAUACCCAAUGACAUCCCACGAAGACAUCUGAAUGGGAUUAAAGAUUUAUCGGUGAUGGAUGGGGAUGCGU
RNAcentral lists this ribosomal RNA (233 nucleotides) under uncultured bacterium. RNAcentral's name for it is "partial 16S ribosomal RNA". It matches the Rfam family "Bacterial small subunit ribosomal RNA", at positions 15 to 236 of the family's 1533-position model. The record is from RNAcentral.